Phrynosoma platyrhinos (Desert horned lizard) is the source of this 72-nucleotide non-coding RNA. Lineage: Eukaryota; Metazoa; Chordata; Lepidosauria; Squamata; Phrynosomatidae. The record is from the annotation of a GenBank genome assembly.
GCCAGUGUGGUGUAGUGGUCUGAAUGCUGGGCUACAGCUCUGGAGGCUAGGGUUUGAUUCCCCCCUUGGUCA